CAGUCAUUCGGUGUGUAGUUAGCUUGAUAUGCAAAAUCAUCGCGGAAAUUUUACAUCUUAACGAAAUUAUAAGCGAGAAAGGUGGAAUCCAGUGAUACACUUAAUUUUCCUGUCAGAUUAAAAGAAGAACCUACUGAUUGGUGGUUUAGGAAAAAUGAUUGUGGAACUAUUGACGAGAAACCCGGUCUAAAGAACCUCCAACUUUCACCAUUUCCCGCAGAAAAUUCUACACGUACCCUUCAAAAAUGUGACAUUAAACUUGAAAGGAAACUUGACGAUGAAGUGGAAGUAGUUGUUGAAUGUGAAGAUGUCAAGCCCAAUAUUAAUUUAUUAGAAAUUAAAAAAAAUUGACGAUGAUUCUCAAAACAUAAUUAAAGUAGAACCUAUGAGGGAAGUGAAACAAGAACUCAAGGCCGU
This is a long non-coding RNA of Trichogramma pretiosum, 417 nucleotides long. RefSeq lists it as uncharacterized. The record is from RefSeq and is a predicted model, not a curated record. The transcript has 3 exons. Lineage: Eukaryota; Metazoa; Arthropoda; Insecta; Hymenoptera; Trichogrammatidae.